UACGGGGGGGGCAAGCGUUGUUCGGAAUUACUGGGCGUAAAGGGCGCGUAGGCGGCCAACUAAGUCGGACGUGAAAUCCCUCGGCUUAACCGGGGAACUGCUUCCGAUACUGGAUGGCUAGAGUGUGGGAGAGGGAUGCGGAAUUCCAGGUGUAGCGGUGAAAUGCGUAGAUAUCUGGAGGAACACCGGUGGCGAAGGCGGCAUCCUGGACCACGACUGACGCUGAGUGAGCGAAAGCCAGGGGAGCAAACGGG
RNAcentral lists this ribosomal RNA (254 nucleotides) under uncultured bacterium. Its description in RNAcentral is "partial 16S ribosomal RNA". It matches the Rfam family "Bacterial small subunit ribosomal RNA", at positions 524 to 776 of the family's 1533-position model. The record is from RNAcentral.